This 1028-nucleotide ribosomal RNA is filed under the name uncultured bacterium. RNAcentral describes it as "bacterial SSU rRNA". It matches the Rfam family "Bacterial small subunit ribosomal RNA", at positions 353 to 1371 of the family's 1533-position model. The record is from RNAcentral.
AGUGAGGGAUUUUGCGCAAUGGGGGAAACCCUGACGCAGCAACGCCGCGUGAGUGAAGAAGGCCUUUGGGUCGUAAAGCUCUGUCGACAGGGAAGAAGUUGAGAUAUAUUAACAGUGUAUUUCAUUGACGGUACCUGUAGAGGAAGCACCGGCUAACUCCGUGCCAGCAGCCGCGGUAAUACGGGGGGUGCAAGCGUUAUUCGGAAUCAUUGGGCGUAAAGGGCACGCAGGCGGUUCUGUCAGUCAGAUGUGAAAGCCCGGGGCUUAACCCCGGACGUGCAUUUGAAACAGCAGGACUUGAGUAUGGUAGAGGAAAGCGGAAUUCCUGGUGUAGAGGUGAAAUUCGUAGAUAUCAGGAGGAACACCGGUGGCGAAGGCGGCUUUCUGGACCAAAACUGACGCUGAGGUGCGAAGGCGUGGGUAGCGAACAGGAUUAGAUACCCUGGUAGUCCACGCAGUAAACGUUGUACACUAGGUGUAGCGGGUAUUGACCCCUGCUGUGCCGGAUCUAACGCAUUAAGUGUACCGCCUGGGGAGUACGGCCGCAAGGCUAAAACUCAAAGAAAUUGACGGGGGCCCGCACAAGCGGUGGAGCAUGUGGUUUAAUUCGACGCAACGCGAAGAACCUUACCCAGACUUGACAUCCUGUGAACCUCUUAGAAAUAAGAGAGUGCCUUCGGGAGCACAGAGACAGGUGCUGCAUGGCUGUCGUCAGCUCGUGUCGUGAGAUGUUCGGUUAAGUCCGGCAACGAGCGCAACCCUUGUCUUCAGUUGCCAGCACGUAAAGGUGGGAACUCUGAAGAGACUGCCCCGGUUAACGGGGAGGAAGGUGGGGAUGACGUCAAGUCCUCAUGGCCCUUAUGUCUGGGGCUACACACGUGCUACAAUGGUAUGUACAAAGGGCAGCAAGCAUGCGAGUGCAAGCUAAUCCCUUAAAGCAUAUCCCAGUCCGGAUUGGAGUCUGCAACUCGACUCCAUGAAGUUGGAAUCGCUAGUAAUCGUGGAUCAGCAUGCCACGGUGAAUACGU